GACGGGGACCCGCACAAGCGGUGGAUGAUGUGGAUUAAUUCGAUGCAACGCGAAAAACCUUACCUACCCUUGACAUGUCCGGAAUCCCCGAAGAGAUUUGGGAGUGCUCGCAAGAGAACCGGAACACAGGUGCUGCAUGGCUGUCGUCAGCUCGUGUCGUGAGAUGUUGGGUUAAGUCCCGCAACGAGCGCAACCCUUGCCAUUAGUUGCUACGAAAGGGCACUCUAAUGGGACUGCCGGUGACAAACCGGAGGAAGGUGGGGAUGACGUCAAGUCCUCAUGGCCCUUAUAGGUGGGGCUACACACGUCAUACAAUGGCCGGUACAGAGGGUAGCCAACCCGCGAGGGGGAGCCAAUCCCACAAAGCCGGUCGUAGUCCGGAUCGCAGUCUGCAACUCGACUGCGUGAAGUCGGAAUCGCUAGUAAUCGCGGAUCAGCAUGUCGCGGUGAAUACGUUCCCGGGUCUU
Molecule: ribosomal RNA, 467 nt
Filed under: uncultured Allobrachymonas sp.
Lineage: Bacteria; Pseudomonadati; Pseudomonadota; Betaproteobacteria; Burkholderiales; Comamonadaceae
Description: bacterial SSU rRNA
Rfam family: Bacterial small subunit ribosomal RNA
Source: RNAcentral